Molecule: ribosomal RNA, 914 nt
Filed under: uncultured archaeon
Lineage: Archaea
Description: bacterial SSU rRNA
Rfam family: Archaeal small subunit ribosomal RNA
Source: RNAcentral
UUCCGGUUGAUCCUGCCGGAGGCUACCGCUAUUGGAGUUCGAUUAAGCCAUGCGAGUCGCGAGAAAUUAGAUUCUCGGCGUACCGCUCAGUAACACGUGGGUAACCUGCCCUAUGCUGGAUAAUAACCUCGGGAAACUGAGAAUAAUGAUCCAUAGUUCACUACGCCUGGAACGGUGAGUGGAUGAAAGCCCCGGCGGCAUAGGAUGGGCCUGCGGCGUAUCAGGUUGUAGGGGGUGUAACGUACCCUCUAGCCCUCUACGCGUACGGGUGUUGGGAGACAUAGCCCGGAGAUGGAUUCUGAGACACGAAUCCAGACCCUACGGGGUGCAGCAGGCGCGAAAACUUCACACUGCAGGAAACUGUGAUGAGGGAACUCCAAGUGCAUCCACUAUGUGGAUGCUUUUUUUGACUAUUAAUCGGUCAACGAAUAAGGGCUGGGAAAGACCGGUGCCAGCCGCCGCGGUAAUACCGGCAGCUCAAGUGGUCGUCGCUUUUAUUGGGCCUAAAACGUCCGUAGCCUGUUUGGUAAAUCUGUGGGUAAAUCAACCAGCUUAACUGGUUGAAUUCUGCGAGGACGGUCAGACUUGGGACCGGGAGAGGUGUGGGGUACGCUCAGGGUAGGGGUAAAAUCCUGUCAUCCUGAGCGGACCACCUGUUGCGAAGGCGCCACACUAGAACGGAUCCGACGGUCAGGGACGAAGCCUAGGGGCACGAACCGGAUUAGAUACCCGGGUAGUCCUAGGUGUAAACGCUGUGGACUUGAUGUUGGGGGUGCUCCGAGCACUCUCAGUGUCGAAGCGAAGGUGAUAAGUCCACUGCCUGGGAAGUACGGUCGCAAGGCUGAAACUUAAAGGAAUUGGCGGGGGAGCACCGCAACCUGAGGAUUGUGCGGUUUAAUUGGAUCAACGCCGGA